Molecule: long non-coding RNA, 853 nt
Organism: Cyprinus carpio carpio
Lineage: Eukaryota; Metazoa; Chordata; Actinopteri; Cypriniformes; Cyprinidae
Source: Ensembl
UUGUUUUGGGUGGCGGUUGGCUGUUCUGGGUGUUUAUUUGUUGUUUUGGGUGGUUGUUGGCUGUUCUGGGUGGAUAUUCAUUGUUUUGGGUGGUUGUUGGCUGUUCUAGGUAAUUAUUAGAUGUUUUGGGUGGCUUUUGGCUGUUCUAUGUGGUUAUUAGAUGUUUUGGGUGGUUGUUAGCUGUUCUAUGUGGUUAUUAGUUGUUUUUGGUGGUUGUUGGUUGUUCUGUGUAGUUAUUAAUUUGGUGGUUAUUAGGUUGUUGAAGGUGGAUGUUUGGUUGUUUUAGGUUGUUGGCUGUUCUAGGUGGUUAUUAGGUUGUUGAAGGUGGUGUUAGGUUGUUGGCUGUUCAGGGUGGUUAUUAGGUUUUUUAUGUGAUUGUUGGAUGUUCUGGGUGGUUAUUAGUUGUUUUGGGUGGUUGUUGGCUGUUCUGGGUGGUUAUUAGGUUAUUGUAGGUGGUUGUUAGGUUGUUUUGGGUGGUUGUUGGCUGUUCUGGGUGGUUAUUAGGUUAUUGUAGGUGGUUGUUAGGUUGUUUUAGGUGGUUGUUGGAUGUUCUGGGUGAUUGGAUGCUCUGGGGGGUUACUAGGAUGCUUUGGGUAGUUACUAAUUUGUCCAUUAUAGUUAAGGUGUUCUAGGUGGUUGCUAUGUUGGUGGUUGUUAGGAUGCUGUGGGUGGUGGGUAGCAUGUUCUAGGUGGUUGUUUGGUUGUUUUAGGUGAUUGUUACCGUGUCCUUUGUGUUUACUAGUUUGUUCAUAGUAGCUGUUAGGUUGUUAAGAUUGCUACAUUGUUCUGGGUGGUUACUGAGUUGUUAGUAGUUGUUGGCAUGGUCUCCGUCACAAGUUUUCAAACUCUGGGU